GGGCAGUGUAGCUAAUGUUAAAGCGAGACACAACCCUAAAGCAACAGGACAUGAUGAUGACAGUUAACAAUGGCAGAAUAUUUUGACAAGUACAUAUAUAUAUAUAUAU
Molecule: long non-coding RNA, 109 nt
Organism: Thalassophryne amazonica
Lineage: Eukaryota; Metazoa; Chordata; Actinopteri; Batrachoidiformes; Batrachoididae
Exons: 3
Source: RefSeq, a predicted model, not a curated record